UAACGCGUAUGCAACUUACCUAUCAGAGGGGGAUAGCCCGGCGAAAGUCGGAUUAAUACCCCAUGAAACAGGGGUCCCGCAUGGGAAUAUUUGUUAAAGAUUCAUCGCUGAUAGAUAGGCAUGCGUUCCAUUAGGCAGUUGGCGGGGUAACGGCCCACCAAACCGACGAUGGAUAGGGGUUCUGAGAGGAAGGUCCCCCACAUUGGUACUGAGACACGGACCAAACUCCUACGGGAGGCAGCAGUGAGGAAUAUUGGUCAAUGGCCGAGAGGCUGAACCAGCCAAGUCGCGUGAAGGAAGAAGGAUCUAUGGUUUGUAAACUUCUUUUAUAGGGGAAUAAAGGGGAGGACGUGUCCUUUUUUGUAUGUACCCUAUGAAUAAGCAUCGGCUAACUCCGUGCCAGCAGCCGCGGUAAUACGGAGGAUGCGAGCGUUAUCCGGAUUUAUUGGGUUUAAAGGGUGCGUAGGUGGUGAUUUAAGUCAGCGGUGAAAGUUUGUGGCUCAACCAUAAAAUUGCCGUUGAAACUGGGUUACUUGAGUGUGUUU
This 545-nucleotide ribosomal RNA is filed under the name uncultured bacterium. RNAcentral describes it as "bacterial SSU rRNA". It matches the Rfam family "Bacterial small subunit ribosomal RNA", at positions 111 to 653 of the family's 1533-position model. The record is from RNAcentral.